CNUGCAGUCGAGCGGAUGAAGGGAGCNNUGCUCCUGGAUUUAGCGGCGGACGGGUGAGUAAUGCCUAGGAAUCUGCCUGGUAGUGGGGGAUAACGUUCCGAAAGGAACGCUAAUACCGCAUACGUCCUACGGGAGAAAGCGGGGGAUCUUCGGACCUCGCGCUAUCAGAUGAGCCUAGGUCGGAUUAGCUAGUUGGUGAGGUAAUGGCUCACCAAGGCGACGAUCCGUAACUGGUCUGAGAGGAUGAUCAGUCACACUGGAACUGAGACACGGUCCAGACUCCUACGGGAGGCAGCAGUGGGGAAUAUUGGACAAUGGGCGAAAGCCUGAUCCAGCCAUGCCGCGUGUGUGAAGAAGGUCUUCGGAUUGUAAAGCACUUUAAGUUGGGAGGAAGGGUAUUCACCUAAUACGUGAGUAUUUUGACGUUACCGACAGAAUAAGCACCGGCUAACUUCGUGCCAGCAGCCGCGGUAAUACGAAGGGUGCAAGCGUUAAUCGGAAUUACUGGGCGUAAAGCGCGCGUANGUGGUUCGUUAAGUUGGAUGUGAAAGCCCCGGGCUCAACCUGGGAACUGCAUCCAAAACUGGCGANCUANAGUACGGUAGAGGGGUGGUGGAAUUUCC
RNAcentral lists this ribosomal RNA (623 nucleotides) under Pseudomonas sp. RNAcentral's name for it is "bacterial SSU rRNA". It matches the Rfam family "Bacterial small subunit ribosomal RNA", at positions 54 to 671 of the family's 1533-position model. The record is from RNAcentral. Lineage: Bacteria; Pseudomonadati; Pseudomonadota; Gammaproteobacteria; Pseudomonadales; Pseudomonadaceae.